This 1521-nucleotide long non-coding RNA is filed under the name Pandoravirus quercus. Its description in RNAcentral is "hypothetical ncRNA". The record is from RNAcentral.
CAUAGCCAAAGUUCCACUCGAGAUUGUCGAGCAGCGACCACACAAACCAGCCGCGCACGGGCACGCCUGCGUCGAUGGCGUCGGCCACCUGCGCGAGAUGGGCGCGCAUAUAGUCGAUGCGCGGCUGGUCGGCAAUGGCCGCGUCGGUGCCGGGUCCAGUUGUCUCGACCGAAUCGGCAUAGCCAUUCUCGGUGAUCCAGAGGUCGACGCCGGGAAAGGUGUCGGCGGCGAGGCGCAGCAACUUGCCGAGGCCGCUGGGCACGAUCGACCAGCCGAGGGCGUUGACGGCGAGGCCCUUGUCGGCAGACGGGGGCACCUCGACAAAGCCAUCGCGGGUGCCGGGUGCCGCUGCGACAAAUUUGGUCGUGUAAUAGUUGAGGCCGAUAAAGUCGGCCGAGCCCUUGAGGAGCAGCGUCUCGGCGUCGGUAAAGGCCAACGGUCCAUUGUCGGGUCCUGCAGAGGCCAACAGAUCGCGCAUACAGUCGGGAUAGCGGCCCGAGCGGAGCGGUUCGGCAAACCAUCCAAAGCGCCGUUGGACGCACAGGGCCGCGGCCGCGUGAUCGGCCUCGGACGUGGGAUCGGCCGGCUCGCGCCAGGCACAGUUGAGCACAAUGCCAAUGGCGCCGCGCUCAUCCGGUCGACCAUUGGCUUCGGCCCAUACCUUGUCAAAGCCCUCGUGAAAUAUCACCGCUGCCUUGCCGUGCGCCAGCAAGAGGUUGUGGGCGGCGACGUGUUCCUGGCCGCGGAUGCCCGGCGGACUGCCGGCGACGCCAUAGCCAUGGUGGGCGACGACAUAGGGCUCGUUGAGGGUCGUCCAGCGGCGUGCCAAAUGGCCGAGGUGUUGAAAGCACGCACGCGCAUACUCGACAAAGGCGGUCGCCGUUAUGGGCGACAGCCAGCCGCCGACAGCGUCCUGCAGCGACUGCGGGAGGUCCCAGUGGUAGAGCGUUGGCAUGGGUUCGACACCGCUGGCGACAAGCCGCUCCAUGAGAUCGCGAUAAAAGGCCAUGCCCUUGGGAUCGACGGUGACGCGCACGCUGCCGUCGGCCUCGUUGAUCUCGUGCGACUUGAUGACCCUGGUCCACGCGAUCGAAAAGCGGUACGAAUCGAGGCCGAUAAACUCGAUGGUACCGCAAUCUUUAUCCCGAUAAAUGUAGUGUUUGCAUGCAUCGUCGCCCGUGACGACACGGCCUUGUGCGUCCUUGACCUUGCGCUUGCCGCACCAAUCCUCCCAUAUGUGGUCGCGGGCAUGGUCGAUGCCAGCCGUCGGGUCAUCGGAUUUUGCGGUUCGUCCGCCCUCGAUCUGGUAGGCCGACGUGCCGCUGCCAAAGACAAAGGCGAGCGGGAGGCGCGCCGCAAGAUCUUGGAUCGACAACCGAGAGGCUGUCGGUCCAUCGACCACCACUGGAGUGGACGCCUUUGUGGCGCCUGCGGUUUGGGCGGCGGACGUCGCCAAAGGGGUCGAGGAGGUAUCUGUUUGUUCAGUCUGCAUGGUGUUGCAAUGAAUGUAUUGUGAAAAUG